ACAGUCUCACCAGGCAGUCACACCUGUCAUUCACGUUGCCAUCACCCUGCCUCUGCCUCCCAUGUUCUGGGAUCACAGGUGUUUAUGAAAAAAAAAUGCACAAUAUCCCGACUGACCGGAAUAAUUGAUGAAGAAGGGUGCUGGAUCCGUGGGUCAGAGAACACACAGGACCAGCUUGCCACCCCAAGGCCAAAGUCUGGUGUCUCGGAUUUGGCCCUGCGUUGCUCACUCCUGCUGCAUCUUGUCCAGCCGAGGGACAAAACACCCUGCCACCUCCCUGAAGAACAGAAAAGAAGUUACAGAGGCAGAUUCCAGCACAGCCAGAGACUGAGAUGUUGAGCUCAGGGGGAGCAGUGAUCACCAAGGCACACGCUGCCAGAAGCCCCAGGAAAGCUGGACAAGACACACUGGCCCAAGUGGUAGAAUGACAUGUCAUGGACAUCAGCACCUGGGCUGCCCAUCCAAGACCCAUCAAAUGGAGAAUAGCACAGCAGAGUCUUUCCCACUUUGCAAAACCUGGCACAAGAACCAGAGAAGCCAGAGUAGCAGCAUGUAUCCCAAAACUGCCGGAAAAAAAGCCAGAGAGGAUGGCAUGUUGACUUAUGAUCAGUUGUGCUAAUAGGUAUUGUGAGAAGAGGUCUCCUCCUUGUCAGAUCCCAUCACAUCUGGAUGCCAUUCUUCACCAUAAGCCUGGAGUCCUGCCUCAGCUGCCAACAUCCUGCUUAACCUUCCUUGGGAGGAAGUGCCUGUUUUCUCUUCCAUAUUCUGGAUUCACUCAUUAUGCCCAGCACUGGGGCAUUUCAGAUAGAAGCAUUCUGAGACAUUCCUACUUCCCAGAAGCUGCCAAAUGUAUGUUACACCUUUGUCAUGUGUAAGCCAGGGUCCACUUCUGGCAGAUGCUGCCUGGCUUGGUCAGUGAGUCUCUCCCUCAGCGGUUCGGUACCGUUCUCCCUGCCUCACACAUCCCGCAUGUGACUCUGUCAGCUCCUGCCGUUUGGCUGGCCCGAAGAGGGAGAAGAUGUGGUUGGAGGAAGAACCUUAGUCUGCUGGGAGGCUGGAGCCUGGCCCCACCUAGGCAGAAGGUCGCCAACCCUCCGCUCACGUUCUGCCUGUCUCCUACCCAUAACUCUCAGCCUUACCUUUUGUCUGUCUUAUCCAGGACAGCUGUACUUUACUUUUUUCAAUUAAACAAAAUUUGGUUACUUUUGAUUAUUGCAAA
Molecule: long non-coding RNA, 1219 nt
Organism: Peromyscus eremicus (cactus mouse)
Lineage: Eukaryota; Metazoa; Chordata; Mammalia; Rodentia; Cricetidae
Exons: 4
Source: RefSeq, a predicted model, not a curated record